RNAcentral lists this long non-coding RNA (445 nucleotides) under Brassica rapa (field mustard). RNAcentral describes it as "long non-coding RNA (BRAP_LNC000364)". The record is from RNAcentral. Lineage: Eukaryota; Viridiplantae; Streptophyta; Magnoliopsida; Brassicales; Brassicaceae.
GCGGCGGAAGCAGCAGUGCUAUGUUGCGCCGAGCUGCUGCGUUUUGUGGGCUCAUCUCUCUUUGAUCUGAAAAGUUCUUUUUAAGGUAUGAGAGGUUGUAAGUUUUAAGCUCUACAUAAACCAGUUUCUUAGUUAUUUGGAGAUACCUCUGUAGUGUAUCCAUGAUUGAACGAUUUUUAAAGUUUUUUCUCAUUAAAUAGUUGAACCUUUUUAGGUUUAGAGGGGCCAUUAACCAAUAUCUUAGUUAUUUAUCGUGUUUGUUUGUUGUUAUCUUAGCUAUGCUCUGUUUUUUUUCCCUUUUUUUGACAAAGCUAUUCUCUGUUUCAUAUAGGAAUAUGACAUGAAGCUUCUGGAUUCUUCCUCUGUUUGCAAGAUAGAGCAUUACUAUUUGGGAAUGUGAUGUCACAAUCCACACUGUGAACCUUCAUGUUUCAGCUCACCAUAG